GGAGAGGGGAGGCUCCACAGCAUAUUAUCCAAAGGCGAGGCGGAUGGUUCUUUGUCCAAUAGUGAGAGAGGGGAGAGAGGGGCCGUUGGUCUUCUCUUUUUGUGUUUUACGUUUUUACUUCUCAUGUUGAGAUGUUGUAACGGCACUUCAUACCUCCUCGGCUGCUGUUGUCUUCACAAUGCACAGAACAUGUUCCAUGUCAUGUCAUCUUGCUCUUCCCACACAACCCUUCUGUGGGGCAAUACUGGUUUUGGAAUUGCCAUUUUAGAAGUGAGCAAACAAGACUCAGAUCAAGUGACCCAGCUCAAGUCUCAUGGGCAGGAAGUGGACAAACCAAGGUCUGAACCAAACCUAAAAACAAGAACGUCUGCCCUCUUCCUUCUUAACCAAGACUGAGAUGAGGACAAGUCAGACCCUUCAGACCCAUCGUUUCAGGGACCAGCAGCUCCAGCCUGAAUGAGAAGCACGUCCUCCUGGGAGUUACAUCAGCAGCCUGGCCUUCCAUCUUCCUCCUCUAAAGAAACGUCCCUGCCACCCUGAGCAUCAAGCCCUCGGGUUCCUAAAGGCCGAGGCGCUUCUUCUCAUUUACUUCCCUUGAGGAAGAAAGACCAGCCCAUCCACCCUCAUUUCCCACCGAAGGGCACCGCAAAUAAAGUUUGCCCACGCAACCAGGCCACCACCAUUAAUUUCUCUCUGCCCUGCUCUUACAUUCUCCUCAAGGUUUUCAAUCCCCUAGACAGGCUCCCUUCCCUCUUUUCUUUCCUUCCUCCAGCCCCCCUUUUCACCUCCCUCCACCAUUGUUUGAGGUUAAGAAGCAUGCUAUGGUGUUCUAUAAAUUACUUGGCAAGAGUAGACGACAAAAGCAAAAUAUAAUUCAGAUUAAAGUCAUCCUCCCGCUGAAAUGAUAGUUUCUUAAAUAAAUGGCGAUGCU
Molecule: long non-coding RNA, 931 nt
Filed under: Pan troglodytes (chimpanzee)
Lineage: Eukaryota; Metazoa; Chordata; Mammalia; Primates; Hominidae
Description: long non-coding RNA NONPTRT016644
Source: RNAcentral